CAUCUGUUAUACAGGGUUUGUUGAAC
Molecule: non-coding RNA, 26 nt
Filed under: Mus musculus (house mouse)
Lineage: Eukaryota; Metazoa; Chordata; Mammalia; Rodentia; Muridae
Source: RNAcentral